GACAGAGGGUGCAAACGUUGUUCGGAAUUACUGGGCGUAAAGCGCGUGUAGGCGGCUCUGCAAGUCGGAUGUGAAAUCCCACGGCUCAACCAUGGAAGUGCAUUCGAAACUGCAGGGCUAGAGUCCUGGAGAGGAAGGUGGAAUGCUUGGUGUAGAGGUGAAGUUCGUAGAUAUCAAGCGGAACACCGGUGGCGAAGGCGGCCUUCUGGACAGUGACUGACGCUGAGACGCGAAAGCGUGGGGAGCAAACAGG
RNAcentral lists this ribosomal RNA (253 nucleotides) under uncultured bacterium. RNAcentral describes it as "partial 16S ribosomal RNA". It matches the Rfam family "Bacterial small subunit ribosomal RNA", at positions 524 to 776 of the family's 1533-position model. The record is from RNAcentral.